This 1379-nucleotide ribosomal RNA is filed under the name Henriciella sp. RNAcentral describes it as "bacterial SSU rRNA". It matches the Rfam family "Bacterial small subunit ribosomal RNA". Lineage: Bacteria; Pseudomonadati; Pseudomonadota; Alphaproteobacteria; Hyphomonadales; Hyphomonadaceae. The record is from RNAcentral. RNAcentral also lists the same sequence under 1 other name.
AACGAACGCUGGCGGCAGGCUUAACACAUGCAAGUCGAACGACAUAGUGGCAGACGGGUGAGUAACGCGUGGGAACGUGCCCUUUACUACGGAAUAGCUUCUGGAAACGGAAGGUAAUACCGUAUACGCCCUUCGGGGGAAAGAUUUAUCGGUGAAGGAUCGGCCCGCGUUAGAUUAGAUAGUUGGUGGGGUAAUGGCCUACCAAGUCUACGAUCUAUAGCUGGUCUGAGAGGAUGAUCAGCCACACUGGGACUGAGACACGGCCCAGACUCCUACGGGAGGCAGCAGUGGGGAAUCUUGCACAAUGGGCGAAAGCCUGAUGCAGCCAUGCCGCGUGAAUGAUGAAGGCCUUAGGGUUGUAAAAUUCUUUCGCCAGGGAUGAUAAUGACAGUACCUGGUAAAGAAGCCCCGGCUAACUUCGUGCCAGCAGCCGCGGUAAUACGAAGGGGGCUAGCGUUGUUCGGAAUUACUGGGCGUAAAGCGCGCGUAGGCGGGCUGUUAAGUCAGAUGUGAAAGCCCGGGGCUCAACCCCGGAACUGCAUUUGAAACUAGCAGCCUAGAGACCAGGAGAGGUUAGCGGAAUACCGAGUGUAGAGGUGAAAUUCGUAGAUAUUCGGUGGAACACCAGUGGCGAAGGCGGCUAACUGGACUGGUACUGACGCUGAGGCGCGAAAGUGUGGGGGAGCAAACAGGAUUAGAUACCCUGGUAGUCCACACCGUAAACGAUGAAUGCUAGUUGUCUGCGCGCAUGCGUGCAGGUGACGCAGCUAACGCAUUAAGCAUUCCGCCUGGGGGAGUACGGCCGCAAGGUUAAAACUCAAAGAAAUUGACGGGGGCCCGCACAAGCGGUGGAGCAUGUGGUUUAAUUCGAAGCAACGCGCAGAACCUUACCCGCGUUUGACAUGCCCUGUUUGGUUACCAGAGAUGGUUUCCUUCAUUUAGUUGGCAGGUGCACAGGUGCUGCAUGGCUGUCGUCAGCUCGUGUCGUGAGAUGUUGGGUUAAGUCCCGCAACGAGCGCAACCCUUAUCCUUAGUUGCCAGCACGUCUGGGUGGGCACUCUAAGGAAACUGCCGGUGCUAAGCCGGAGGAAGGCGGGGAUGACGUCAAGUCCUCAUGGCCCUUACACGCGGGGCUACACACGUGCUACAAUGGCAGUGACAAUGGGAUAAUCCCCAAAAGCUGUCUCAGUUCAGAUUGUCCUCUGCAACUCGAGGGCAUGAAGUUGGAAUCGCUAGUAAUCGUGGAUCAGCAUGCCACGGUGAAUACGUUCCCGGGCCUUGUACACACCGCCCGUCACAUCAUGGGAGUUGGUUCUACCCGAAGACUGUGCGCUAACUUCGGAGGCAGCAGGCCACGGUAGGAUCAGCGACUGGGAUGA